This 511-nucleotide long non-coding RNA is filed under the name Medicago truncatula (barrel medic). Its description in RNAcentral is "long non-coding RNA (MTRU_LNC003435)". Lineage: Eukaryota; Viridiplantae; Streptophyta; Magnoliopsida; Fabales; Fabaceae. The record is from RNAcentral.
GUGGUAAGACAUUUUUUUUUAUCCUUUUUUAAUUUCCUUAGUUACUUCAUAGUUUGUACAACAUCUUUUAUCAUUCUUUACUAACAUUAUUUUAUUAUAUUUUGGCUAAAAUAUGAUUUUAGUCCCUGCAAAUAUGCCUCGUUUUGAUUUUAGUCCCUGGUAAAAAAAAAAUUUGUUUUUGGUUCCUGUAAAAUUUUUUGUUUUUGAAAAUAGUCCCUGACCCCACUUUUGUGAUGAUUUGCAUACGUGACACAUUAUAACUGAACCAAUUUUGUAGUUUUUGGUCCCUGCAAAAUAUUUUGUUUUUAAAAAAGGUCCUUGCAAAAUUUUUUGUUUUUGAAAAUAGUCCCUGAAGCAGGGACCAAAAACAAUUAUUUUUUUACCAGGAACUAAAACCAAAACGAGGCAUAUUUGCAGGAACUAAAACCAUAUUUUAGCCUUAUAUUUUUCAUCACAGCAUAUAUUGAAUGUGAAGUUGAUGAUGAUUGUCCAAAACCAAUGAAAAAUUCAC